RNAcentral lists this ribosomal RNA (189 nucleotides) under uncultured soil bacterium. RNAcentral's name for it is "partial 16S ribosomal RNA". It matches the Rfam family "Bacterial small subunit ribosomal RNA", at positions 26 to 218 of the family's 1533-position model. The record is from RNAcentral.
AGAUUGAACGCUAGCGGGAUGCUUUACACAUGCAAGUCGAACGGCAGCGCGGACUUCGGUCUGGCGGCGAGUGGCGAACGGGUGAGUAAUAUAUCGGAACGUGCCCAGUAGCGGGGGAUAACUACGCGAAAGCGUGGCUAAUACCGCAUACGCCCUACGGGGGAAAGGGGGGACCGCAAGACCUCUCAC